GAUGAACGCUGACAGAAUGCCUAACACAUGCAAGUCAACUUGAACUUCGGUUUGGGUGGCGGACGGGUGAGUAACGCGUAAAGAACUUGCCUCACAGAUAGGGACAACAUUUGGAAACGAAUGCUAAUACCUGAUAUUAUGAUUUUAGGGCAUCCUAGGAUUAUGAAAGCUAUAUGCGCUGUGAGAGAGCUUUGCGUCCCAUUAGCUAGUUGGAGAGGUAACGGCUCACCAAGGCGAUGAUGGGUAGCCGGCCUGAGAGGGUGAUCGGCCACAAGGGGACUGAGACACGGCCCUUACUCCUACGGGAGGCAGCAGUGGGGAAUAUUGGACAAUGGACCAAGAGUCUGAUCCAGCAAUUCUGUGUGCACGAUGAAGUUUUUCGGAAUGUAAAGUGCCUUCAGUUGGGAAGAAAAAAAUGACGGUACCAACAGAAGAAGUGACGGCUAAAUACGUG
This 454-nucleotide ribosomal RNA is filed under the name uncultured bacterium. Its description in RNAcentral is "partial 16S ribosomal RNA". It matches the Rfam family "Bacterial small subunit ribosomal RNA", at positions 28 to 507 of the family's 1533-position model. The record is from RNAcentral.